UUCCCUUUGGUUCUCUUCCGUUCCCAAAUGUUCGUUUGCUCAGAGAACGCACCAUUUCCAAUCGAAAACUGUUCCUUCAAUCUCUCAGCUACACCACCAAAUCUCAAAAGACAUGUGCCUCCAAGCUCCUGGAAAAUCCACCCCAAAGUGGACAUGCCUGUGAGGGCCAUGGCUCCAGCCACAGCAAACCCAGUCAUCGCUCCCACAAACACAAACCCAGCAAAAAACAGCAGAGUGAUGAAGAUCAACAGAAGCAGUGAGCUCAAAACCAGAAGCGUCACUGAUGCCAAGGAGCUGAAACCCAUCAAGAACACAAGCGACCCUCCAAUUUCCAAGCCUCCCAUGGCUCCCAAGACCACCUUGGUGUUUUGCGAUUUCGUUUGGUCUUGAUCUCAUCAGUUUUCGAUUCUUCAUCUAAUCAGUUUUCGAUCAUCUCACCCCGCUUCGAACUCGCCGCCUCCUCCUUCUCCCAUUCCAAAAUCCCAAUCUCGUGCGCUUUCAAUCCUUGCUGCGAAAUCGGCGCCAAGAACUGAGGUGGUGUUUUGCUGCUUUAGAUAAAGCUGUUUGGUGGUUGUUUUUGGUUCUCUUAAGCUAGAGCGAUUUGGGGAGGGGGGCACUUUUCCUAGGAUUCGAAGUGGUGACCAAGGGGGGCCUUUUCGUGUGGCUUUUUGAAAUUUUUGUUUUUUUGAGGGAGCUUUUUUAACACGAAAAAGGACAUGGAGUUGUUAUAAACUGCCUUUGGUUUCAUUUGAUUGAUGUUUUGGGUUGAUUUUCAGACAUAUAUGUUUACUACAAAAUUGAAGCUUGAUCUUUAGAUUGUUAGAAGAGACUUUGAGAAAACUCAUUUGUUGAAUUAGAGUAUGAAAUUUUGAUAUCUGUUUAAAGGGAAAAAAGGGAAAAACAGAAAAAUGGAAUUGAAAAAUAUAAAAAAAUUCUUGAUUGUUUAGUGUGACUUUUGCAUAGAUAACUUUUGAUCAUAUACUCUUUGUUUCAAAUGCAUCUAGGAUCAUUUAAACAGCCCUCUUCCUGUGCUUUUACAGUGUUUUUUCUUUGAACUAGAGGUGUCAGAUGAAUGUGCUUUUGCAUCUUCUUUCUUUGAACUAGAGGUGUCAAACUAGACGGGCCGGCCUAGCACGGCACGAGCGCAAAUAUUAGUAGGCCGUGCUAGGUUUUUGAGAAAUAGUAAUGGGAAACUCCAA
Molecule: non-coding RNA, 1199 nt
Organism: Prunus avium (sweet cherry)
Lineage: Eukaryota; Viridiplantae; Streptophyta; Magnoliopsida; Rosales; Rosaceae
Source: RefSeq, a predicted model, not a curated record